GAUGAACGCUGGCGGCGUGCUUAACACAUGCAAGUCGAACGGAAAGGCUCCUGCUUGCAGGGGUACUCGAGUGGCGAACGGGUGAGUAACACGUGGGUGAUCUGCCCUGCACUUCGGGAUAAGCUUGGGAAACUGGGUCUAAUACCGGAUAGGACCGCAUUUUGGAUGGUGUGGUGGAAAGUUUUUUCGGUGUGGGAUGAGCUCGCGGCCUAUCAGCUUGUUGGUGGGGUAAUGGCCUACCAAGGCGUCGACGGGUAGCCGGCCUGAGAGGGUGUACGGCCACAUUGGGACUGAGAUACGGCCCAGACUCCUACGGGAGGCAGCAGUGGGGAAUAUUGCACAAUGGGCGCAAGCCUGAUGCAGCGACGCCGCGUGGGGGAUGACGGCCUUCGGGUUGUAAACUCCUUUCGCUAGGGACGAAGAGUCAUUGACGGUACCUGGAGAAGAAGCACCGGCUAACUACGUG
This 466-nucleotide ribosomal RNA is filed under the name uncultured bacterium. Its description in RNAcentral is "partial 16S ribosomal RNA". It matches the Rfam family "Bacterial small subunit ribosomal RNA", at positions 28 to 507 of the family's 1533-position model. The record is from RNAcentral.